UACGUAGGGUGCGAGCGUUGUCCGGAAUUAUUGGGCGUAAAGAGCUCGUAGGCGGUGUGUCACGUCGGCCGUGAAAACCUGCAGCUUAACUGUGGGCGUGCGGUCGAUACGGGCAUCACUGGAGUUCGGCAGGGGAGACUGGAAUUCCCGGUGUAGUGGUGAAAUGCGUAGAGAUCGGGAGGAACACCCGUAGCGAAGGCGGCCGACUGGACCACACCUGACGCUGAGGCGCGAAGGCCAGGGGAGCGAACGGG
This 254-nucleotide ribosomal RNA is filed under the name uncultured bacterium. RNAcentral describes it as "partial 16S ribosomal RNA". It matches the Rfam family "Bacterial small subunit ribosomal RNA", at positions 524 to 776 of the family's 1533-position model. The record is from RNAcentral.